ACAGAGAGAGCUUGCUCUUUGCUGACGACCGGCGCACGGGUGCGUAACGCGUAUACAAUCUGCCUAUCACUGAGGGAUAGCCCGAAGAAAUUUGGAUUAAUACCUCAUAUUAUUAUAGAAUCGCAUGGUUUUAUAAUUAAAGGUUACGGUGAUAGAUGAGUAUGCGUCCUAUUAGCUAGAUGGAGAGGUAAAGGCUCCCCAUGGCUACGAUAGGUAGGGGUCCUGAGAGGGAGAUCCCCCACACUGGUACUGAGACACGGACCAGACUCCUACGGGAGGCAGCAGUGAGGAAUAUUGGACAAUGGGCGCAAGCCUGAUCCAGCCAUGCCGCGUGUAGGAAGACGGCCCUAUGGGUUGUAAACUACUUUUAUACGGGAAGAAACCUAUCCUCGUGAGGGUAGCUGACGGUACCGUAAGAAUAAGCACCGGCUAACUCCGUGCCAGCAGCCGCGGUAAUACGGAGGGUGCAAGCGUUAUCCGGAAUCAUUGGGUUUAAAGGGUCCGUAGGCGGGCUAAUAAGUCAGUGGUGAAAUGCAGGGGCUCAACUCCGGCACUGCCAUUGAUACUGUUAGUCUUGAAUUAUUGUGAAGUGGUUAGAAUAUGUAGUGUAGCGGUGAAAUGCUUAGAUAUUACAUAGAAUACCGAUUGCGAAGGCAGAUCACUAACAAUAUAUUGACGCUGAUGGACGAAAGCGUGGGUAGCGAACAGGAUUAGAUACCCUGGUAGUCCACGCCGUAAACGAUGGUUACUAGCUGUUUGGACGAAUUGACGUCUGAGUGGCCAAGCGAAAGUGAUAAGUAACCCACCUGGGGAGUACGUUCGCAAGAAUGAAACUCAAAGGAAUUGACGGGGGCCCGCACAAGCGGUGGAGCAUGUGGUUUAAUUCGAUGAUACGCGAGGAACCUUACCAGGGCUUAAAUGUAGUAUGACAGAUUUGGAAACAGAUUUUUCUUCGGACAUAUUACAAGGUGCUGCAUGGUUGUCGUCAGCUCGUGCCGUGAGGUGUCAGGUUAAGUCCUAUAACGAGCGCAACCCCUAUUGCUAGUUGCCAGCGAGUCAAGUCGGGGACUCUAGCGAGACUGCCGGUGCAAACCGUGAGGAAGGUGGGGAUGACGUCAAAUCAUCACGGCCCUUACGUCCUGGGCCACACACGUGCUACAAUGGUAGGGACAGAGAGCAGCCACCACGCGAGUGGGAGCGAAUCUAUAAACCCUAUCACAGUUCGGAUCGUAGUCUGCAACUCGACUACGUGAAGCUGGAAUCGCUAGUAAUCGCAUAUCAGCCAUGAUGCGGUGAAUACGUUCCCGGGCCUUGUACACACCGCCCGUCAAGCCAUGGAAGCUGGGGGUACCUGAAGUCGGUGACCGCAAGGAGCU
RNAcentral lists this ribosomal RNA (1376 nucleotides) under Nonlabens mediterrranea. RNAcentral describes it as "bacterial SSU rRNA". It matches the Rfam family "Bacterial small subunit ribosomal RNA". The record is from RNAcentral. Lineage: Bacteria; Pseudomonadati; Bacteroidota; Flavobacteriia; Flavobacteriales; Flavobacteriaceae.